GAGUUUAGGGUUUAUCCAAGGGUUUAGGGUUUAGGAUUAAGGGUUUAGGGAUUAGGAUUUAGGGUUUAGGGUUUAAUGUUACGCUGACGAUGUAAAAUAUUUUUUUUUAAUUACUACUAUUUUUUUUUUACCUUUUUAAUUUUAAAAACAUAAUAUAAUUUGACAAUAUUUUGUUUCCUUUUUUAAAAGAUAUCGAAUAUAAAAUGAAACAAUCCUAUUGGUUAGUGAACCUAAAG
This 236-nucleotide long non-coding RNA is filed under the name Brassica napus (rape). Its description in RNAcentral is "long non-coding RNA (BNAP_LNC001307)". The record is from RNAcentral. Lineage: Eukaryota; Viridiplantae; Streptophyta; Magnoliopsida; Brassicales; Brassicaceae.